AGUGUAGUGAUGCAUGGAGCGGACUAGUACUAAUAGGUCGAGGACUUAACCAAG
This 54-nucleotide ribosomal RNA is filed under the name Oenococcus oeni. RNAcentral describes it as "partial 23S ribosomal RNA". The record is from RNAcentral. Lineage: Bacteria; Bacillati; Bacillota; Bacilli; Lactobacillales; Lactobacillaceae.